CCUACGGGGGGCUGCAGUGGGGAAUAUUGCACAAUGGGGGAAACCCUGAUGCAGCAACGCAGCGUGAGUGAAGAAGUAUUUCGGUAUGUAAAGCUCUAUCAGCAGGGAAGAAAAUGACAGGACCUGACUAAGAAGCCCCGGCUAACUACGUGCCAGCAGCCGCGGUAAUACGUAGGGGGCAAGCGUUAUCCGGAUUUACUGGGUGUAAAGGGAGCGUAGACGGCGGAUCAAGUCAGAAGUGAAAGCCCGGGGCUCAACCGCGGGACUGCUUUUGAAACUGUAAGGCUAGAGUGCAGGAGAGGUGAGUGGAAUUCCUAGUGUAGCGGUGAAAUGCGUAGAUAUUAGGAGGAACACCGGUGGCGAAGGCGGCUUACUGGACUGUAACUGACGUUGAGGCUCGAAAGCGUGGGGAUCAAACAGGAUUAGAUACCCCAGUAGUC
This 440-nucleotide ribosomal RNA is filed under the name uncultured bacterium. RNAcentral describes it as "partial 16S ribosomal RNA". It matches the Rfam family "Bacterial small subunit ribosomal RNA", at positions 338 to 795 of the family's 1533-position model. The record is from RNAcentral.